UGGCCACGUGUUGUCCAUUAUCUCUGGGAAGCAGCCCGCCCGGCUCCUCUGAGUCUGUAUAAUUUAUUACCUUCACACCCGCACAGAAUGUUAAUGUGACUGCUUAUCUCCAACUCAGCGAGCAGGACAGAUGCUCAGGAGGGAAGCGGCUGCUGCAAAGGCAGCCUGGGCUGUUGGGACAGGGGCCCUGCAGACGGACGAACAGACAGACAGCCAGCCCUGGUGAGAACUCGACUCUGUUUCCUCGCGUCCGUGUGGCCCUGAGCAGUUCUGUCAUCAUCCAGGCCGCAUGGCUGCCCUGGAGCCGGGGGGUCAGACCCUCAAGGCUGCCUUCUCCCGGGGGCUCCCCGGCGCUGUGUGGUUGCUCAGAUGCUCAUGGGAGCCCGACGGCUGCUCAUCUCAGGCCCCCAGGACAGCCCGACAGCCCAGCCGCUGCACCUUGGACGUGGGCUCUCCGAGACGAGGGCCACACUGGUCCUGGGGGACCCGGACCGGGCUGGGAUCCCGCAUCUAGUUAGCACAGCACAGGAAGCAGAGACCACAGCCCAGGGCACUCCUGGUGACAGAGCUGUUUUAUGCACAUGAAGCACAACCUUGAAUACAACAGCCCCAACUCCCAGCCUCAUGGAGGUUAUAUGCAGCGAUGGUCCCCUGCUGCUGUCAUUCUGGUCACCGUCACUGGUCAGCGGCCCAGACCCUUGGCCAGCCUGUAGGGUCCACCCCAGCCUUGCCGUGUACUAGCUGUGUAGCUGUGCAGUUCCUACCUCUGGUCUAGUAGGACUGUUGGUGGUGACAUGAAGGACCACAUGCCGGGCACAGAGCAAGACCCAUAAUGCAGCUGCUGUCAUCACUCGUUGUUUGUAUGAAGAAGUGGAGAUGCAGAGAGGGGAAGACACUGGCCCAAAGACACAUAGCUUGAAAGUGGGAAAACCGGGGUCCACACCCAUGCAGCUCUGCCCCCCACACUCAGCUCCUAAGGAGGCACCACAUGUCUUGGCCCCCACACAGACUCUAGGUCGUCAGGACCUGGGCAGGCACGGGAGGCGUGCAGCGUCUGGAGCAUCCGGAGCGUCUGGAAAAUGUGCUUUAUAAAGGGCCCUGCGGCUGCAAAGGCGGAUUUCUCUGGCUCCGUCUGAAGGGACACUGUCUCUGUUCCAGUCUGAUAAUGGCUUUAAGGACCACAUGUUUAUGCCAUUGUGAAAGAAAGCAUGACUUGCUUGUCUAAAACUAAUGGGUUUGAAAAUCCCCAAGGUGACGAGCUGGUGGCCGGCAGUGACAGGCCCCAGCCUCCCAGGGUCACGUGGUGGGACAAGCUCGCCUGGGCCCCAAGGUUCCCAUGUGAACACUGCAGAGUCGGACGGGCUCUGAUGCGUCACUACUGGUCUGCAGAAGCUGUCCUUGUGUCCGGGGAUGGGCCCUCCACUGCCUGGGCCUGCGUCACAGGGGGCUGAGUGGACCCGGAGAACCAAAGCCCACCCUGAACUGAGGGGCGGUCAGAGAACAGCACCUGGAAGAGGCCCCUCUGCUGGGCCGCCUGAGGAGCAGACACCCACUAGGACCUCCCACUGCAAGCGCCAUCCCACAUCUGCGCCCCUGGCCCUCUUAACUGGGCCUGGUUUCACCUCUGCGCCCCCCAUAGACCCCAGCUGAACGCUGCUCUGCCACAACUUUGCUCUGCCCACACCCUGAGGCCAGGAACAGUGCUGCCCACCACGUCCCUCCUAACUCCUGGUCCUGUGGUUCACAUCAGGAACGGAUUCCCCAACAGAGAACUCAGACACGGAUGGCUCAGAAAUGUGACUGAGGGGUCUGUGAUCUGCCCUGAGAUUUGGUCUGGACGUUUCUGUGAGGCUGUUUCUGGAUGAGAUGUACACUGAAAUUGGUGGACUUCGAGUAAAGCCGACUGCCCUUCCUCAUGUGGUGGGCCUGGUCCAAUCAGUGGAAGGCCUGGAGAGAACCAAAGGCUGACCUCCCCGAGGUCAAGGGGGAAUUCUGCAGCAGACACCUUCGGAUGGGAACCGCACCAUCAGCUCUCCUGGUCUGCAGCCUGCCGGCCAGCCCUGCCCUUCUGGACGCACAAGCCUCCACCCUCACUGAGCCGAUUCCUCCCACAAGUCCCUUUCUAGACGCCCACACUUCUCCUCGGUUCUGCUUCCCUGGAGAAUGCUGACUGCGUGGGCUCUGAGUGUGCACCACAGGGCCAGCUCCUGGGCUGACCCUGGAACUCAGAUUCUUCAGCACGAGAUGCCUAGCCAUCUGCAUGAAGCAUUUUCUCCCGGAAAUGAAUCCCCAGGCCUCCCGUUCUUUAUUGUAGGUGAGGGCCAUAUUACUGCUGCUCGAACAUUUCCUUAGCUGUUAGUAUCCAGAAAGAGAAGAUUACUUGCUUCUGGAAUCCACUGUUGUUAAGAUGACAAUAAUCCCCAAAGCAAUCUACAAGUUCAAUACAAUCCAUAUCAAACUUCCAACUGCCUUUUUGCAGCAGCAGAGAUGAUGAUUCUAAAAUUCACAUGGAAGUGCACACGGUGGUGGUGAGUCUGGACGGGCACUUCCUGGGGAAUUGGGAUUUGGUAGUUGGAGGCAGUGGGAGCACCAGGGGUAGAGAAAUCUUGUGGUCAGGGUGGGCCUGCGCAUGAGUGCAGGCUGUGGGCAGGGACACACAGGGUGGUGGGCAGCACCAUCAGGAGAAGCAGAAACGCAAGUGGAUGGGUCUCGUGACUUGGGGUUGGGGAGCAGGAUUCACUGCGAGAGCAGGUGGGGCCACCAUGAGAGGAGGUGGGGCCAAACAAGAGGGGGUGGGUUCAUGUGAGACGGGGCCAGUCACCAUGAUGGGGCACGGUCAGAUGGGGGUGAGUGGGGCCUCAAGCGGUCAAUUCCUCCCAGUUUGACUCCCCCAGGGAGGAUUCCUACUUAUGUCUGAGAACUUUCUUUCCUGCUGGCAGGUCCUUUUAUGGUGUAUCCAGCCAUACCACAGUGACCCCUCCCCAUGUCCCCAGCCACAUCAGCUACCAAUCCCUGUGUCCCAAGGCUACAUAGCAGUGGCCCCUCCCAGUGUCCCCAAGCCACAUCACAGUGACCCCUGCACCACCAGGAUGCAUAAUGGUCAGUCUAAGCAGCAGGCGGAGUGGCCACCUGUUUAUAAAAUGACAGGUCCCGCAUCUUCAGGAUGGUCUGGAGGUUUAUUUUGGGCAGAGGGAGGAGCAGACAGAGGCCACAAUUAAGGAGUUUAUGGCACAUCCAGGGAUGCAGCUCUCCCCGGGCAGUCCUGCCUCAACCUCUAACGCUGCGGGAAUGAACUCCUAGUGGCCCUCGCCUCGCCUGUUCCUGCCUCCUCUCUGCAUCUCCCUGUUCUGCUCCAUGCUCACCUUCCCUCUGUCCCCAUCUCUCUGUUCUCUGAGAGCUGCAGCUGGAAAAGCCAAAUGCAGGAACAGUCAUGGGUCCCAGGCCAGCCUGUGAUAGCACAUUUUCCACUGAGAACUUGGUGACUAGGUGUUACCUGGCUUGGGGACGAUCUGAAAACACCUUCUGUUCAAUUUUGAGGCAGGCUGUUCUAAUUCCAGAUCCCCAUGUAACUUCAGUUGUUUUUCCUUGUUUUUGGCCUGAAACAUCAAAGCAAUUUCCUCUGCGUGUCUGCCUCACCUGUCUGGCGGGUUUCCAGGCUGAAUACAAGCCAUGAGCAUGGUAAUCAAGAGUCUGCAGGCUCGGCCGUCUCUCAAAUGGGACUCAUGGGGUUUAGGAGAUGAGAGAGGGUUUGGGAAACCACAGAGGAUCACAACUUAGACUGAAUUCCCUUCUGUCACCAGACCCACCGCUGGGUCCCCGAAUCCCACACUGACAGUGAAGACAGAGAAACUCCAGGUCCCUGGAGUUGUGUGAACACCACAGUCCCGAGGCCUUCUGAGGGCGUCUCCGACCCUGGUCCCCAGUGGCCAUGGCUGUGCCGCUGUUCUGCAGAAGACCCCUCCCGCGUGUCUCCUCCGCACUCAGUGCAUGUGGAGGGAGGCAGGUGGGGAGUUUGGGGCUUGAUCUAGGACUGGGGCCUGGCUGUCACCUGGAGGUAAAGAGGAGCCUGUCACGCACACGGUGUCUGCAUCGCGUGGUCAGGACAUGUCCACCAAUGGGACAGCCCUGACUCAAGCCCCAUCAAGCCCAAAGGGGCCUCGAUUGGCUCGUGGGCCUGGAAGGGCAAGGGGAGGUGGAGAGGCAGGCAUCAUCUGGACAGGGGAGGAGGGUGUGGGUGGCCAUGUAUCAGGGCCAUUGGGAUGUCCUCAGAUGACUUGAUUGACACAUUGGAAGAAGGGUGCCUGAGGUUCAAGCAGCAGCCUUGGGUGAAUGGGACGUUGUGGGGGUGUGAGUGAAGGCGUAUGCACACCCUCAGUGUCCUGGGCACGGCCCACCUCUCCACCACAUGCAGACGUUACACACGUGACUGUAUUCAUUCUUGGGGACCUUCUUGGCUUCCUUUUUAAGAGAUGCGAUGGCCCACUUAGUGGGUCAGGUGUGGGGCUUUCUUAUUCCACUCCUGCUGUCCAGAUGCCUGGAGCCCACUCCUCGUCUGGGUGGAUGAGUGUUCUGAGCCCUGGAAGGGGGACUGUCCACCCAGGGUGUGCUGGAUUUGGGAGCUGAGACAAGCGUCCAGGGUGUGCCCAAUUCAGGUGCACAUCUGAGGUGGGGGACAGAGAAGACUUGUGCUGCAGGCUGCUCUCCACUGGCGCUCCAUGAAGGAAGCAGGCAGAAAGAUGGCAGGGAGCGAGGCCACUGCAUCUGCACUCCUCGCAGACUAGGGGGGCAGAAUGCCUCCCCAGCCUCCGUCUUUACCAUCUCUGCUGCCCUCCCAGCCUGUGGGGUCUUUGGCAGAGAUGGGAAGGGCAGGACAACUGUGUCUGAAGGGCAACUCUGUUCCUGUCACUGCCGCCUGCCCUGCCCGCCCCUUUUUUGAGGUUAACAGUUGCCAUUUUCAGUGGUCUCCUUGUCUGUGCAUGGAGGUGGGAAUGGGGGAGAUCCCCAGAGUGCAACUGGAAGAAUUUAUGUGCAAAGACGGGCAGAAUUACCACCCCAAUACUCAGAAUACCACAGUGCCCUGAGCAGUGAUGAAGCUCUGCUCAGGUCUUUCCUUGGAAAAGGGUAAGCCAGUGAACCUGGGCCGGGGGCCCUUGUGGGCUGUGUGGAGAGGCAGCACCAGGCUCUGGGUCAUGUCAGGGUCAGACAGAACAGGGUUCACCUCCCACUCAUGCUGGACUUAUUUGUUUUCUCUUGAACAAAUCUAAGACCUGGCACUGGACUCCGUCCCUUCCUGACAGCACACUUGGCUGGAGCCGAGCAGCGCGUGUCCCCAACGCGGCCCCUGCAGGAUCCUGAGCCCUCGGGCCUGACGUCAGCUGUCUGCAGUAGGGCGCUGGGCUGGGCUCUGGCAGCCUGACGCCUCCAUCCAGCUUCCCGUCAGCUUUCCCGUCAUUAACUCCGUGAGGCCUCCUGAGCCACGUCCUUCCUUCCGGCUGGGUUAGCGCCAGCUUUGGGCCUGAGUACAGACAGUCUGCGGGCAGCUGGGCUCUCAGCCUUGAGCUACUAAUCAGGAGGGGCUGGAGGCUGCCCCAGGGCGCGGUGAGGUCACACUGCAUGGACAGCCCCUCAGAGGGAGGCUGCUCCUGGAGACUGGCACCCUGGUCUUACGCCCCUCACACG
This is a long non-coding RNA of Equus asinus (donkey), 5679 nucleotides long. NCBI's taxonomy places the organism in Eukaryota, Metazoa, Chordata, Mammalia, Perissodactyla, Equidae. The record is from Ensembl.